CCCUUCGAUGUUCUGGGCCGCACGCGAAUUACACUGACCAAGUCAACGAGUUUAGAACCUUAUCUGAGAAGAUCGGGCAAUCUUUUGAAACUUGGUCGUGAUAGGGAUUGAUGAUUGCAAUUAUUCAUCAUGAACGAGGAAUGCCUUGUAACUGCACCUCAUCAAGGUGCGGUGAAUGCGUCCCUGCUCUUUGUACACACCGCCCGUCGCUCCUACUGAUUGAAUUCUGCGGUGAAAUCCCCGGAUUGUGAGGGGCUUACUUUUCGCGGCUCUGUCGCGGAUGACCCAUGCAAGAUGUCGAUUAAAUCUUAGAAUUUAGAAGAAGGAGAAGUCGUAACA
RNAcentral lists this ribosomal RNA (339 nucleotides) under uncultured eukaryote. RNAcentral's name for it is "partial 18S ribosomal RNA". It matches the Rfam family "Eukaryotic small subunit ribosomal RNA", at positions 1470 to 1796 of the family's 1831-position model. The record is from RNAcentral.